UCCGUAGGUGAACCUGCGGAGGGAUCAUUACACAAAUAUGAAGGCGGGCUGGAACCUCUCGGGGUUACAGCCUUGCUGAAUUAUUCACCCUUGUCUUUUGCGUACUUCUUGUUUCCUUGGUGGGUUCGCCCACCACUAGGACAAACAUAAACCUUUUGUAAUUGCAAUCAGCGUCAGUAACAAAUUAAUAAUUACAACUUUCAACAACGGAUCUCUUGGUUCUGGCAUCGAUGAAGAACGCAGCGAAAUGCGAUAAGUAGUGUGAAUUGCAGAAUUCAGUGAAUCAUCGAAUCUUUGAACGCACAUUGCGCCCUUUGGUAUUCCAAAGGGCAUGCCUGUUCGAGCGUCAUUUGUACCCUCAAGCUUUGCUUGGUGUUGGGCGUCUUGUCUCUAGCUUUGCUGGAGACUCGCCUUAAAGUAAUUGGCAGCCGGCCUACUGGUUUCGGAGCGCAGCACAAGUCGCACUCGUCUAUCAGCAAAGGUCUAGCAUCCAUUAAGCCUUUUUUUCAACUUUUGACCUCGGAUCAGGUAGGGAUACCCGCUGAACUUAAGCAUAUCAAUAAGCGGAGGA
This 571-nucleotide ribosomal RNA is filed under the name Botryosphaeria dothidea. RNAcentral's name for it is "eukaryotic LSU rRNA". The stretch from base 196 to 349 matches the Rfam family "5.8S ribosomal RNA". Lineage: Eukaryota; Fungi; Ascomycota; Dothideomycetes; Botryosphaeriales; Botryosphaeriaceae. The record is from RNAcentral.